RNAcentral lists this unclassified non-coding RNA (230 nucleotides) under plant metagenome. RNAcentral's name for it is "partial contains small subunit ribosomal RNA and internal transcribed spacer 1". The record is from RNAcentral.
AAGUCGUAACAAGGUUUCCGUAGGUAACCUGCGGAAGGUCCAAUUAAAGAGAUGAGGGUUCGUUCAUGGCCCGCCUCCAACCCUCUUUGUUAUAACUACCUUGUUGCUUUGGCGGGACCGUCUCGGUCUCCGAGCGCACUAACCCUCGGGUUGGUGAGCGCCCGCCAGAGUCCAACCAAACUCUUGUAUUAAACCAGUCGUCUGAGUAUAAAAUUUUAAUUAAAUUAAAA